This 468-nucleotide ribosomal RNA is filed under the name uncultured bacterium. RNAcentral's name for it is "partial 16S ribosomal RNA". It matches the Rfam family "Bacterial small subunit ribosomal RNA", at positions 28 to 507 of the family's 1533-position model. The record is from RNAcentral.
GACGAACGCUGGCGGCGUGCUUAACACAUGCAAGUCGAACGGAAAGGCCCUGCUUUUGUGGGGUGCUCGAGUGGCGAACGGGUGAGUAACACGUGAGUAACCUGCCCUUGACUUUGGGAUAACUUUAGGAAACUGGGGCUAAUACCGGAUAGGAGCUCCUGCUGCAUGGUGGGGGUUGGAAAGUUUCGGCGGUUGGGGAUGGACUCGCGGCUUAUCAGCUUGUUGGUGGGGUAGUGGCUUACCAAGGCUUUGACGGGUAGCCGGCCUGAGAGGGUGACCGGCCACAUGGGGACUGAGGUACGGCCCAGACGCCUACGGGAGGCAGCGGUGGGGAAUAUUGCGCAAUGGGCGGAAGCCUGAUGCAGCAGCGCCGCGUGCGGGAUGACGGCCUACGGGUUGUAAACCGCUGUCGCCUGUGACGAAGCGGGAGUGACGGUAAUGGGUAAAGAAGCACCGGCUAACUACGUG